UACGUAGGGGGCGAGCGUUGUCCGGAUUUAUUGGGCGUAAAGAGCUCGUAGGCGGCUUGGCAAGUCGGGUGUGAAACCUCCAGGCUCAACCUGGAGACGCCACUCGAUACUGCCAUGGCUAGAGUCCGGUAGGGGACCACGGAAUUCCUGGUGUAGCGGUGGAAUGCGCAGAUAUCAGGAGGAACACCGGUGGCGAAGGCGGGUCUCUGGGCAGUAACUGACGCUGGAGGAGCGAAAGCGUGGGGAGCGAACAGG
RNAcentral lists this ribosomal RNA (255 nucleotides) under uncultured bacterium. RNAcentral describes it as "partial 16S ribosomal RNA". It matches the Rfam family "Bacterial small subunit ribosomal RNA", at positions 524 to 776 of the family's 1533-position model. The record is from RNAcentral.